AGAGUUUGAUCCUGGCUCAGGAUGAACGCUAGCUACAGGCUUAACACAUGCAAGUCGAGGGGCAGCAUGAAGUCAGCUUGCUGACUUUGAUGGCGACCGGCGCACGGGUGCGUAACACGUAUCCAAUCUGCCCGUUACUCAGGGAUAGCCUUUCGAAAGAAAGAUUAAUACCUGAUGGUUCGUUUUUCGCAUGAGGAGACGAAUAAAGAUUCAUCGGUAACGGAUGAGGAUGCGUCCGAUUAGAUAGUAGGCGGGGUAACGGCCCACCUAGUCGACGAUCGGUAGGGGCUCUGAGAGGAGGAUCCCCCACACUGGAACUGAGACACGGUCCAGACUCCUACGGGAGGCAGCAGUGAGGAAUAUUGGUCAAUGGGCGGGAGCCUGAACCAGCCAAGUAGCGUGAGGGACGACUGCCCUAUGGGUUGUAAACCUCUUUUGUUUGGGAAUAAAGUACCCCACGUGUGGGGUUUUGUAUGUACCUUACGAAUAAGCAUCGGCUAAUUCCGUGCC
Molecule: ribosomal RNA, 510 nt
Filed under: uncultured bacterium
Lineage: Bacteria
Description: bacterial SSU rRNA
Rfam family: Bacterial small subunit ribosomal RNA
Source: RNAcentral